Long non-coding RNA from Felis catus (domestic cat), 864 nucleotides. RefSeq lists it as uncharacterized. The record is from RefSeq and is a predicted model, not a curated record. The transcript has 4 exons. Lineage: Eukaryota; Metazoa; Chordata; Mammalia; Carnivora; Felidae.
GCUUGGCGCCGGCGGAGCCAGAGGCGAAGACGUCAUCGGCCUCGGAGCGGGAUCCGCUGGCUGCCUGCUGGCUCCGACCCCAGUCCGGCCGUCCGGCCUGCGCCUGGCGUGUCCCUGGGGAUCCGGCCUGCUCCGCUCUCCGGGCCCAGAGGCGAGGUGGCGGGAGCACUGCCAGCCAAGGGCUGACCUCAAGGAUCCAAGCGGCGGCGUGCCCGCAGCCUCUCCUCCCCCUUCCCUGCACCCGUCCCCGCGCUCCCCUCCGCCACCGCCCCGAUCGGAAAGGGGCUUCCUGCGCUUUUGCAUACACGUGUGCCCCUUUCGCUCAUUGCCUCGUCACCACCAGGCACGGACAGGCUCCCCGGGAGAAGCGAUUUACUUGACCAAUGUCACAAUGCUGGGGGUAGGGGUACAGAGAAGAACCUGAAAUGAGGGUUGGAGAAAAAUUAACAAGUCUGUCGGUGGAAAUGUCGUUCCUACUAAGGAUAACCGGGCAAGCAGUUCUUAUAUCAUCAUCCAUCGUGUGUUUCGGGGUCUGGCAUCAGAACCUGGGGAGAAGAUCACCACAAGUCACUGGUAAUAUUACCAACCCCCAUGUGAAGAGACAGAGGAACCGAGGCCAGAGAAGUUAACUAACCCAUCCAAAGGCACACAGCAAACAGAAAGCAGCACUGGCAGAUUUCAAAGCAGAGACCGCUGGCGACAUUAGCUCCCGUGUAACACACACCGUAGCCCAGAGGAGUGGUUCUCAGUCCCGGCUCCACACUGAAACCACCUGGGUGGUUCAAAAUCCUCACACCUUGGUCCCAUCCCCAGCACCUCCAAUGUAACCAGCCUAGGGUGGGGCCUGUGCAUGGGAUUUAAAAU